This 301-nucleotide ribosomal RNA is filed under the name uncultured bacterium. Its description in RNAcentral is "partial 16S ribosomal RNA". It matches the Rfam family "Bacterial small subunit ribosomal RNA", at positions 509 to 808 of the family's 1533-position model. The record is from RNAcentral.
CAGCGCCGCGGUAAUACAGAGGAUGCAAGCGUUAUCCGGAAUGAUUGGGCGUAAAGCGUCUGUAGGUGGCUUUUCAAGUCCGCCGUCAAAUCCCCGGGCUCAACCCUGGACAGGCAGUGGAAACUACCAAGCUGGAGUAUAGUAGGGGCAGAGUGAAUUUCCGGUGGAGCGAUGAAAUGCGUUGAGAUCAGAAAGAACACCAACGGCGAAAGCACUCUGCUGGGCCGACACUGACACUGAGAGACGAAAGCUAGGGGAGCAAAUGGGAUUAGAUACCCCCGUAGUCCCUGUCUCUUAUACA